RNAcentral lists this ribosomal RNA (442 nucleotides) under uncultured Pseudomonadota bacterium. RNAcentral's name for it is "bacterial SSU rRNA". It matches the Rfam family "Bacterial small subunit ribosomal RNA", at positions 60 to 496 of the family's 1533-position model. The record is from RNAcentral. Lineage: Bacteria; Pseudomonadati; Pseudomonadota.
AGUCGAGCGAGAAAGUUUCUUCGGAAGCGAGUAAAGCGGCGGACGGGUGAGUAACGCGUAGGAAUCUACCAUUCAGUGGGGGAUAGCUCGGGGAAACCCGAAUUAAUACCGCAUAUACCCUAAGGGGGAAAGAGGGCCUAUCCUUGGAAGCUCUUGCUGUUUGAUGAGCCUGCGUGAGAUUAGUUUGUUGGUGAGGUAAUGGCUCACCAAGGCUACGAUCUCUAGCUGGUCUGAGAGGACGAUCAGCCACACUGGGACUGAGACACGGCCCAGACUCCUACGGGAGGCAGCAGUGGGGAAUAUUGGACAAUGGGGGCAACCCUGAUCCAGGCAUGCCGCGUGUGUGAAGAAGGCCUUCGGGUUGUAAAGCACUUUAGGUAAGGAAGAAAAGUUAUUGGUUAAUACCCAAUGACCAUGACAUUACUUACAGAAUAAGGACCGG